UGGGGAAUUUUGGACAAUGGGCGAAAGCCUGAUCCAGCAAUGCCGCGUGUGUGAAGAAGGCCUUCGGGUUGUAAAGCACUUUUGUCCGGAAAGAAAUCCUUGGCUCUAAUACAGUCGGGGGAUGACGGUACCGGAAGAAUAAGCACCGGCUAACUACGUGCCAGCAGCCGCGGUAAUACGUAGGGUGCAAGCGUUAAUCGGAAUUACUGGGCGUAAAGCGUGCGCAGGCGGUUUGCUAAGACCGAUGUGAAACCCCGGGCUCAACCUGGGAACUGCAUUGGUGACUGGCAGGCUAGAGUAUGGCAGAGGGGGGUAGAAUUCCACGUGUAGCAGUGAAAUGCGUAGAGAUGUGGAGGAAUACCGAUGGCGAAGGCAGCCCCCUGGGCCAAUACUGACGCUCAUGCACGAAAGCGUGGGGAGCAAAACAGGAUUAGAUACCCUGGUAGUCCACGCCCUAAACGAUGUCAACUAGUUGUUGGGGAUUCAUUUCCUUAGUAACGUAGCUAACGCGUGAAGUUGACCGCCUGGGGAGUACGGUCGCAAGAUUAAAACUCAAAGGAAUUGACGGGGUCAUAGCUG
RNAcentral lists this ribosomal RNA (579 nucleotides) under uncultured bacterium. RNAcentral describes it as "partial 16S ribosomal RNA". It matches the Rfam family "Bacterial small subunit ribosomal RNA", at positions 355 to 932 of the family's 1533-position model. The record is from RNAcentral.